UACGAAGGGGGCUAGCGUUGCUCGGAAUGACUGGGCGUAAAGGGCGCGUAGGCGGCUCAUACAGUCAGAUGUGAAAUUCCUGGGCUUAACCUGGGGGCUGCAUUUGAUACGUGUGGGCUUGAGUGGGGAAGAGGGUCGUGGAAUUCCCAGUGUAGAGGUGAAAUUCGUAGAUAUUGGGAAGAACACCGGUGGCGAAAGCGGCGCGCUGGACCUCUUCUGACGCUGAGGCGCGAAAGCUAGGGGAGCAAACGGG
Molecule: ribosomal RNA, 253 nt
Filed under: uncultured bacterium
Lineage: Bacteria
Description: partial 16S ribosomal RNA
Rfam family: Bacterial small subunit ribosomal RNA
Source: RNAcentral